AUUCUACUUCCUGUCUCUCUGAAUUUGACUACUCUGGACACAGAAUAGCAAACAUAAGGAGCACAGCAAACAUCACAGAUAUGAGAUGAAUGCUUAGGGUGCGGCUGCAGUGACGAAGUGAUUUCAGGUCAAUCACGAAAGGGUGACAGCGGACAGGAUGAGAGUCGCCAGGAGCCAGCGAGAAUGACUUCGGUUUGAGAAAGUCUAAGCUGGGUCAAGCCAAGGAGGAGCCCAGGCCACUCGCCCCGCGUCUCCCUCGCCGGGAUCCCCUCCUCGGACCUCCCCCUCCUGUCUCCGGGCUAGCCCUUCUGCCUGCGGCUACCACACUCCCCUGGGGCAGCUUUGGCCCCGGGUUCCAGGAAAGCAUCUGAUUGGCCGUGUUCUCACUAGGCCAGCCCUGAUAGAUCACUGGCCAGCCUAUGGAUAGGCUCCCCUCAGUCAGAUGCCCAUGCCUGGUCCAAUCAGCGGUGGGAAGCCGGGAGGGUCGGGGAAGUAGCUGUGGCUGGCGGGGCUCCCAACUCCUGCAGGGACUCCUGGCGGGUCCAAGGUGAAGCCCGGCCAGUCUCAGGCUUCACAGCGCCCCCUGGUGGUCCGGGGCGGAGGCGGGGAGGAGCCCAGGCAGCCGCAGGGCGAGGCUCAGGGCAGGCGUGGAGGCUCAGAUCCGUAAUCUCAGCACUUUGGAAGCCAAGGGGGGAGGAUCGCUUGAGAUUGGGAGUUUGAGGCUAGCCUGGGCAACAUAGUGAGACCCCCUAUCUCUACUAAAAAUUAAAUUUAAAAAAAGGGGGUCAAGGUCUGAGCAUGGCUGACUCCACUCUGGACUCCAUACCUGAGGGUAACCAAGGGAAGGGUGUUGGGGAGCGGUCCUGCCUGGGGCUGACCCCCCAGAACCUGCCCAGCUCCCCUUCUAUCUGGGGCUGGGGGAGUUGGUUAGUGCGGGGUGGGGUGCGGGGACCCAGAACCCCCCAAAGCUGCUCUUCUCUCCCGGGCAGCCUCUGCCUUCUCCCAGCCCCCCUUUCAUCACUCAGGGAGCCCUGAAAGUGAGGACCUCAGGUACUGUGCGUUUCCUAACCUCGCCUCAAUCCUGGGUGUCCUGUUUGGACUCUGGGGCCCUCUGCGCGGCUCUCAGCGAAUCUCUCAGCACAGGGGUGCAUGGGUACCCCGCCCUUUGGUUCCAGGCUCAAGUCAGUGGCACCGUGUCCCCUCCAGGCCAGAGAGAGGGGUCUGCUCCCAGCGGUUCGUGGGCGGCUGGGGCUGGCGCACACCCUCUCUGCCUUUCCCUCCCGAAGCGCCGCCGUGGGCCAGGCCCCACCCGAACGGGGAGCGUCCCUAAUUGCCCUGCACUAAUUGCAGCUUCACCUGCGCGGCUGGGCUGGCCUCCCCUGAGCCUGGAGCUUGUUAUUGGAAAUAAGCCGAUUUCUCCAGUUUGGGAGAAUUCAGACUUGGGGGUUGAACUACUUGUGAUUUGGGGCAUUUAUCAUUGAAAAUAGGCCUCGUUCCCUCACGGAGAGUUUUCUGUAAACAACUCGGCGCCACACAUCCAGGCUCGCGUAUCCGGGGCCCUGGGACCACACACAGGCCCCAAGGGUUUGGGGGCUGAAACCGGGAAGGUUCAGGGCUGCCUCCAGCAUUGACCGGGUCUCAGCUGAGCCACAGCCCAUCUGAAGGCUUAACGCAAGCUCUGGCUCUUUUUUUCUCUUUCUUUCUUCCUUCCUUCCUUCCUUCCUUCCUUCCUUCCUUCCUUCCUCCCUCCCUCCCUCCCGUCUCUUUUUUUCUUUCUCCUUUCCUUCCUUCCUUCCUUCCAGCCACAGCCCAUCUGAAGGCUUAGCCCAAGCUCUGGCUCUUUUUUUCUUUCUCCCUCCUUCCUUCCUUCCUGCCACAGCCCAUCUGAAGGCUUAGCUCAAGCUCUGGCUCUUUUUUUCUUUCUCUCUUCCUUCCUCCUUCUCCCUUCCCCUCCUCUUUCCUUUCUUUUUGACAGAGUUUCACUCUUUCACCCAGGCUGGAGUGAAGUGGCUCACUGCAACCUCUGCGAACCCUUCCUUCCUUUCUUUUCUUUUCUUUUUCUUUUUUUUUGACAGAGUUUCACUCUUUCACCUAUGCUGGAGGGAAGUGGCUCACUGCCUCCUGGGCUCAGGCAAUUCUGCCUCAGCCUCUCGAGUAGUUGGGAUUACAGGCACCCACCACCACACCCAGCUAAUUUUUUGGUACUUUUUAGUAGAGACGGGGUUUCACCAUGUUGUCCAGGCUGGUCUCAAACUCCUGACCUCACGUGAUCCACCAGCUUCAGCCUCCCAAAGUGCUAGGAUUACAGGCGUGAAUCACAACGCCUGGCCCUUUUUUUCUGUUUUUGAGAUAGAGUCUCCCUCUGUCACCCAGGCUGGAGUGCAGUGGUGUGAUCACAGCUCACUGAAGCCUCAAACUCCUGGGCUCAAGCGGUCCUCCCACCUCAGCCUUCCGAGUAGCUGGGACCACAGGCACGUGCCACUAUGCCUGGCUAAUUUUUAAAAUUUUUGUAGAGAAGAGGUUUUGCCAUGUUUCUCAGGCUGGCCUGGAACUCUUGGGCUCAAGUGAUCCUCCUGUCUUAACCUCCCAAAGUGCUGGGAUUCCAGGUGUGAGCCACCCACACCUGGCCUUCUCUAAGAGUUUUAUUGAUGUAGGCCAUGAGUGGUGGCUCACACCUGUAAUCCCAGCACUUUGGGAGGCUGAGGCAGGUGGGUCACUUGAGACAAGCCUGGGCAGAUGGCGAGAAUAAUUAUUGCUGAAUAAUUUCCAUUGUAUGGAAAUCCCACACUUUAUACAUCUAUUCACCAGUUAAUGGAUAUGCCUUUCCAUUUUGAGGGUAUUAUGAAUAAUGCUGCUAUGGAUGUUGACUAAAGAAAUAAAAUGCAGCUGGGCAUGGUGGCUCACACCUGUAAUCCCAGAACGUUGGGAGGCCGAGGUGGGCGAAUCACGAGGUCAGGAGUUUGAGUCCAGCCUGGCCAAUAUGGUGAAACCCCGUCUCCACUUAAAAAAAAAAAAAAGGGCUGGGCGCAGUGGCUCACGCCUGUAAUCCCAGCACUUUGGGAGGCCAAGAUGGGCAGAUCAUGAGGUCAGG
RNAcentral lists this long non-coding RNA (3091 nucleotides) under Homo sapiens (human). Its description in RNAcentral is "non-protein coding lnc-ANKRD9-6:1". The record is from RNAcentral. Lineage: Eukaryota; Metazoa; Chordata; Mammalia; Primates; Hominidae.